UGUACUGUGUGUCAAGGCAUGCAGUGUGUGCGUACAACCAGCCAGCUGCCAUGCAUGCCGUAUGAGACACACACAAGACAGCAAGACAGCCAUUCCUAUCAACAGCUACAGGAGCCAGAGCAGAGAAAAAUCCUUUUAUUACUUUGUUUUCCCCUGCUAUUCUUCAAUAUGGGCAUCUGUUGACAUCUUUCGCCAAACAGUGGAUUCAAACACAUUGUGGCAACAGUAUAUUGACGUGAGACCAUGCAGAAAAUGCUACUUUCUCUCAACCUUCUGGAUCAGCAUUCAGCAGCGUAGCAGCCUCAUGACACAGUUGAAGCCUUUAUCGAAUUCUUUGCGUGCAUGUACCCUGGAUCAAGCAGAACUUGCAUUAUACAGGAGAUUCCACCCAAAAUCUAAACCAUGAGUCCCAGCUGAAGAGGAAUAUUUCCAAAAUGAGGUCUACACACACAGAGGUUACUUUCCCCUUCAUUAUAGAGAUACAGAGAGAGGGAGAGAGAGAGAGAUGGGGGGGGGGGGGGGGUGAGUUAUAGCCACGAACCUGAAUAGCUUAGCUGUAGAACUGAAAUGCCCAUUCAUGUCACUUGCCAUUUUGAUGAAUUACAGGGUUUACAAACAUACAUGUAGGCCUACAUUUUUACCCUUUGGGUAAAAGAUCUUGGUAUUUGCGUAUAUUUGUUAUUACUAUUUAUGAUGUAGACCUGUUUCAUAAUGCUUAUGUAGUAGAUCAGUCUCGUGCUCACCCCCACCCCCUUCGUAUCGAAAUGUCAAUUCCUAAAACCUGUGGCAAAUUAUAUAAAUUGGUAAUAGAGAAAAAUUGAGUGAGGUAAAUGCAAUACAAAUCUAUUCCAAUCUUAAGCACUUAAGACUUGUUAAGGUAUGGCACGUGAACCGCCAAAAAAUUAAAAAAAUUGUGUCUUGAAAUAAAUGGGAAAGUAGUCCUGCAGCUCAUCAUAGUGACGUACAUUACCGAUUCAGCCAAUUUAAAAUGCCCAUAGGUUUAGUGAUCACAGCUUUCAACAAUCCAUAACCACCUUAUUUUGUGUCAGAUUUAAUGUGGUAUUUUUAAAAGUAUAGUUGUCUGUUAAGGUUGGAUUUCUCUUUAAAAAGUGUAAAGGGUAAGCCCUAUGUAACAUAAUGUGAUGAGGCAAUUUUCGUUAUAAAACCAAAUCAAAGUGCCGCGGAACAAAUUAUUUCGUUCACCUGUUAAGAAUAAUUGUAUUUCGAUAGUCGGAAUGCGAAAUGCAAACAUGUGUUGUUAGGUAGGGCAACACAUAAUGUAUUCAAUUUGCAUUCUGACUAUUUAAAUACAUUUAUUGGUAAAAGGUGAAUUUAAUAAUUGGUAAUGAGGCACUUAACGAGGACCUAUUCAUUAAAUUUGAUAAUUACAAUACGACAAUGGCCUACAUGUAUUCAUAUGAAUGGGAAAUCUUUGAACUGUUAUGUCGUUUUCUGAGGGUUCAUAAUUUUAUAUGUUCAAGGAUUCAUAAUUCUACAAAUGAAGUAGGGUUCUUAAUUCUGAAAAUGAACUAGGAUUCAUAAUUCCAAAAA
Molecule: long non-coding RNA, 1551 nt
Organism: Strongylocentrotus purpuratus (purple sea urchin)
Lineage: Eukaryota; Metazoa; Echinodermata; Echinoidea; Camarodonta; Strongylocentrotidae
Exons: 3
Source: RefSeq, a predicted model, not a curated record